UUAAUGAGAGUUUGAUCCUGGCUCAGGAUGAACGCUGGCGGCGUGCCUAAUACAUGCAAGUAGAACGCUGAAGCUUGGUGCUUGCACCGAGCGGAGGAGUUGCGAACGGGUGAGUAACGCGUAGGUAACCUGCCUCUUAGCGGGGGAUAACUAUUGGAAACGAUAGCUAAUACCGCAUAAAAGUCGACAUUGCAUGAUGUUGACUUGAAAGGUGCAAAUGCAUCACUAAGAGAUGGACCUGCGUUGUAUUAGCUAGUUGGUGAGGUAACGGCUCACCAAGGCGACGAUACAUAGCCGACCUGAGAGGGUGAUCGGCCACACUGGGACUGAGACACGGCCCAGACUCCUACGGGAGGCAGCAGUAGGGAAUCUUCGGCAAUGGACGGAAGUCUGACCGAGCAACGCCGCGUGAGUGAAGAAGGUUUUCGGAUCGUAAAGCUCUGUUGUAAGAGAAGAACGAGUGUGAGAGUGGAAAGUUCACACUGUGACGGUAACUUACCAGAAAGGGACGGCUAACUACGUGCCAGCAGCCGCGGUAAUACGUAGGUCCCGAGCGUUAUCCGGAUUUAUUGGGCGUAAAGCGAGCGCAGGCGGUUAGAUAAGUCUGAAGUUAAAGGCUGUGGC
This 624-nucleotide ribosomal RNA is filed under the name Faecalibacterium prausnitzii. RNAcentral's name for it is "bacterial SSU rRNA". It matches the Rfam family "Bacterial small subunit ribosomal RNA", at positions 1 to 608 of the family's 1533-position model. The record is from RNAcentral. Lineage: Bacteria; Bacillati; Bacillota; Clostridia; Eubacteriales; Oscillospiraceae.